GACGAACGCUGGCGGCGUGCUUAACACAUGCAAGUCGAACGGUGAAGCGCCUUCCUUUUUGGUGGGUGUGGAUGAGUGGCGAGCGGGUGAGUAACACGUGAGUAACCUGCCCCCUUCUUCUGGAUAACCGCAUGAAAGUGUGGCUAAUACGGGAUAUUCUGGGUCUGUCGCAUGAUGGGUCUGGGAAAGAUAUUGUUUCGGUGGGGGAUGGGCUCGCGGCCUAUCAGCUUGUUGGUGGGGUGAUGGCCUACCAAGGCGGUGACGGGUAGCCGGCCUGAGAGGGUGGGCGGUCACACUGGGACUGAGACACGGCCCAGACUCCUACGGGAGGCAGCAGUGGGGAAUAUUGCACAAUGGGCGCAAGCCUGAUGCAGCGACGCCGCGUGAGGGAUGGAGGCCUUCGGGUUGUGAACCUCUUUCGCCAGUGAAGCAGGCCUGCCUCGUUUGUGGGUGGGUUGACGGUAGCUGGAGAAGAAGCGCCGGCUAACUACGUG
This 494-nucleotide ribosomal RNA is filed under the name uncultured bacterium. RNAcentral's name for it is "partial 16S ribosomal RNA". It matches the Rfam family "Bacterial small subunit ribosomal RNA", at positions 28 to 507 of the family's 1533-position model. The record is from RNAcentral.